RNAcentral lists this ribosomal RNA (524 nucleotides) under uncultured archaeon. Its description in RNAcentral is "bacterial SSU rRNA". It matches the Rfam family "Archaeal small subunit ribosomal RNA", at positions 1 to 530 of the family's 1478-position model. The record is from RNAcentral.
UUCCGGUUGAUCCUGCCGGACCUGACUGCUAUCGGAUUGAUACUAAGCCAUGCGAGUCGUUGUAGCAAUACAAGGCGGACUGCUCAGUAACACGUAGUCAACCUACCCUAUGGAUGGGGAUAACCNUCGGGAAACUGAGAAUAAUACCCAGUAGGCCAUUAUGCCUGGAAUGGUUUAUGGCUUAAAUGAUUUAUCGCCGUAGGAUGGGACUGCGGCCUAUCAGCUUGUUGGUGAGGUAAUGGCCCACCAAGGCUAUAACAGGUACGGGCUCUGAGAGGAGGAGCCCGGAGAUGGGUACUGAGACACGGACCCAGGUCCUAUGGGGCGCAGCAGGCGAGAAAACUUUGCAAUGUGCGAAAGCACGACAAGGUUAAUCCGAGUGAUUUCUGCUAAAGGAAUCUUUUGUCAGUCCUAAAAACACUGGUGAAUAAGGGGUGGGCAAGUUCUGGUGUCAGCCGCCGCGGUAAAACCAGCACCUCAAGUGGUCAGGAGGAUUAUUGGGCCUAAAGCAUCCGUAGCCGGCU